RNAcentral lists this ribosomal RNA (508 nucleotides) under uncultured bacterium. Its description in RNAcentral is "partial 16S ribosomal RNA". It matches the Rfam family "Bacterial small subunit ribosomal RNA", at positions 28 to 507 of the family's 1533-position model. The record is from RNAcentral.
GACGAACGCUGGCGGCGUGCCUAAUACAUGCAAGUCGAACGCUUCUUUCCUCCCGAGUGCUUGCACUCAAUUGGAAAGAGGAGUGGCGGACGGGUGAGUAACACGUGGGUAACCUACCCAUCAGAGGGGUAUGACACUUGGAAACAGGUGCUAAUACCGCAUAACAGUUUAUGCCGCAUGGCAUAAGAGUGAAAGGCGCUUUCGGGUGUCGCUGAUGGAUGGACCCGCGGUGCAUUAGCUAGUUGGUGAGGUAACGGCUCACCAAGGCCACGAUGCAUAGCCGACCUGAGAGGGUGAUCGGCCACACUGGGACUGAGACACGGCCCAGACUCCUACGGGAGGCAGCAGUAGGGAAUCUUCGGCAAUGGACGAAAGUCUGACCGAGCAACGCCGCGUGAGUGAAGAAGGUUUUCGGAUCGUAAAACUCUGUUGUUAGAGAAGAACAAGGACGUUAGUAACUGAACGUCCCCUGACGGUAUCUAAACAGAAAGCCACGGCUAACUACGUG